RNAcentral lists this ribosomal RNA (251 nucleotides) under uncultured bacterium. RNAcentral describes it as "partial 16S ribosomal RNA". It matches the Rfam family "Bacterial small subunit ribosomal RNA", at positions 525 to 775 of the family's 1533-position model. The record is from RNAcentral.
ACGUAGGGAGCGAGCGUUGUCCGGAAUUACUGGGUGUAAAGGGAGCGUAGGCGGGAUGGCAAGUCAGAUGUGAAAACUAUGGGCUCAACUCAUAGACUGCAUUUGAAACUGUUGUUCUUGAGUGAGGUAGAGGUAAGCGGAAUUCCUGGUGUAGCGGUGAAAUGCGUAGAGAUCAGGAGGAACAUCGGUGGCGAAGGCGGCUUACUGGGCCUUUACUGACGCUGAGGCUCGAAAGCGUGGGGAGCAAACAG